UUGAUGCCAACACUUAUAAGAAGAGACUCACAUAUGGCUAUUUGUAAAUUCUAGCAUCAAUUUUAUUUUAUAUUUUGGUUUCAAACUUUGGAAUCUAAGAUGUCUUCACAGUAAGAAAAUUUUGAUAUAAAAAGAUGUCUCAGGUCCACACAGAAGGAUAUUGAAUUUGAUACAUCAAGCUGGAAACAGGCUUUGUGCGGAUGGCGGAAUUCCAAGAACCGAAAUGGUCCGACGGAAACAACGCGGCAGCAUCCCAAUAUUCAACCACAAUCAGAACUGCGAAGCACAUCAACAAAACGAUUUCACUGCACUUAUCAUUUUAACAAAACCACCUAACAAUAUCAAUACAUGACAAAAAAUAGUGCAUUCAAUUUCUAUCGUUUCCUACAACUCCACCCAUGUUAAUCAUAACCGUGUCAUUUGCAACUAAUAAAACCAUGUCCAAACACAAUCCGUAAAAGCAUUCUAACUUUUCACUCAAUUUAAAAUUUCAAAAGGGAAAAGGAUUUCACAAAAACAUCUUCACAUCAAGACCAUGUUGCAACCAAUUUACAAGUUCCAAUUGUGAUUUAAUUAACCUAGUUAAUAACGGCAAUUAAUACCAGGCUCUAGU
Molecule: long non-coding RNA, 613 nt
Filed under: Lathyrus oleraceus (garden pea)
Lineage: Eukaryota; Viridiplantae; Streptophyta; Magnoliopsida; Fabales; Fabaceae
Description: Pisum sativum (pea) long non-coding RNA (PSAT_LNC002462)
Source: RNAcentral